This 2342-nucleotide long non-coding RNA is filed under the name Mus caroli (Ryukyu mouse). RNAcentral's name for it is "predicted gene 44854 (MGP_CAROLIEiJ_G0006623.1)". Lineage: Eukaryota; Metazoa; Chordata; Mammalia; Rodentia; Muridae. The record is from RNAcentral.
GGGAUCCAGCCGAAUGGAGUGGACAUAGAUCGGUUGGUGGAUACAGGACCCGAUGUUGGUAUACUUUUCCAACAGUUUUGGAAUCCAGAUUUGCUACCUCAGAAGGUUUCCUUCUGUUCAAGCCAAGAUUUUUCAACUGAUCUAUUGAUUACCACAGACUUUGGUCUGCUUACACCAUGUGGAUUCCUACCUCCCAAGUCCCAGCCUCAACCCAUCAGCAAGAACCAGUCAAAGCCAAUGUACUACAGGAAAGGGUCCUGUACGAGAGCCAGGCCAGGCCAGGCCAGCCCAGCCCAUCUGCCUGGUCAUCUUCUCCCAUUUCCUUUCCUCCAAGCUAUAAGCCACACCGGUUUCUGACCACUCUAUAUUCUGGGUUUUCAUCAAAUGACUGAUCAAUUUUUUUCUGAGAGAGGAUUGUGUUAAGUAGCCCAGGUUGUCUUCAAGCUUGGAAUCCUGCCUUCACUUCCUGAGGGCUAGGACCCACUCAUAAGGCUUAUUCAAGGUCACCAUAGCCUCCCAGGUGCUCCCACACCUUGCCCAAGCCAUUCCUGCUAUACUCUAGAUCCAGCUAAUGCCUCAUUUUGGAAAUGCCAGUCGAUACAUUUCCUGUAAGAAGGGAGCCCUGAGGCGCCCGGCUCUGGGCCAUCCUUCACCCAUCUUUAUUGUUGGGAUGAAUCGUCUGUCUGUCUGUCUGUCUCCCUACAAGACUGUGAGGCUGGAACUUGCUGCAUAGAAGGUCUUCAAGAAAUGAUGGGGUAAUGGGACAGAGCCUUUGCCACUGUGAACUGGUAAGGCUCAUCACGGUCUGCCAUGUCCUUGAUCCUGCCUUUGGGGGAGGCUUUGCAAGGCAUGCUGGGAUGAGUCCAAGAUGUCCAUAGUGAGAAGACAGCAAUGGAGGAUUCACUGAUCACACAGCCCCUUUCCUUUGGUCCCUGUGUCCUGGCCAACUGCACCUUUGCUCUGUAGCGCUAGCUGGUCUGGAACGUACUACAACCGUGGCCUGGAACUCAUGGACAAACUUUCUGUCUACACCUCCCAGGUACUGGGAUUGCAGGCAUGGGCCAGCAGGCGUGGCUUCUUCCUUCAUGACCCUGGAGAGCUAUGAAGGAUGCAUACUUUGUCGACACAAGGCCGAGUCUGGUCUUACACACAAAGAUGACUGUAAUCCUUUUCAAUAUUUACUGAUUUGUGUAAGUGUUUCCCAUGUCCCACAUGUAGAAGCCAGAAGACAAUUUGUAUGAAAUCGCUCCGUCCUUCUACCAUGUUAUGUCCUAGAAGCAAACUCAGGUUUGUGUGGCAAGUGCCAUUACCAUCUGAGUCACCUCACACCCUCAAAUGUUUGUGAUUUGAGUGUGCUCUUUGGAAGGGAUACAGACACAUGGCACAAUUCAGAAGCAUGCGGAUGUGAUGGCUCACACCUUUAUUCCCAGUACCUACGGUCAGAGGCACACAGAUCUCUGAUGGCAGCCUGGUCUACACUGUGAGUUCCAGGCCAGCCAGAGUUACAUAGUGAGGCCCCAUCUCAAAGGAAAAACCAUAUAGAAAGUUGUAUGUUGGAGGCCAAAUCUUUCCUAUACUUGCCCUUCCCUGUUCCACAGCAACCUCAUUCUUUAGCGGUCACCAUAGUUACCAUUUUCUUGUGCAGUCUUCUGGAAAUAACACAUGAACAAUUAAACAUGUGUAAGGUCUUCCCCUCAUUCAAACAGCAGCAUUCCCAUGGGCUGCUAUGCACUCUGCAUCUUGGUUUAAGUGAAAGAGAGAAUAUGAAGACAACUGUGUGUGUAUGUGUGUGUGUAUCUCAGAAGCCUCAUUUUUCAUGGCUGUAUACUAUUUUGAUAUGGGAAAUUAUGUCAUAGCUGAUUUAACCAGAUUCUCAUUCAUGCACAUUUCAUUUGUUUUCUUUUUAGCAGUUGUAGGUAAGCCAGUUGGUGGUGGUGCAUGGCUUUAAUACCAGGACUUGGGAGGCAGAGACAGGUGGAUCUGAGUUUGAGGUCAGCCUUGUCUAAAAGCAGGGUGAGUUCCAGAACAACCAGGACUAUACUGAGAUACCCUAUCUCAAAAAAAAAAAAAAAAAAGUUGUAGGUAAGAAUCUUGAACUAUUGUGUAUAUUGCUGGGUGUAUUGCUAGGAUAAGGUCAGAGAGCUGGAGUUCCAAAGAGCAUGCGUGUUUGUGAUCCAGUGUCAGAUCGGUUGCAACAGAAGUGCCAUGAACUCAUUUAAUUAGUAAGUUAAGAGUGCUGAGGCUUGAAUUUUGCCCAUUUCACAGGUGACUGGUAUUGUGUUAUAUAAUGUGACGUUAUAUUAUUCUUUUUAAAAAGUUUUAAAAUACAAACAUGUAAAAUU